RNAcentral lists this ribosomal RNA (326 nucleotides) under uncultured bacterium. RNAcentral's name for it is "bacterial SSU rRNA". It matches the Rfam family "Bacterial small subunit ribosomal RNA", at positions 28 to 334 of the family's 1533-position model. The record is from RNAcentral.
GAUGAACGCUGGCGGCGUGCUUAACACAUGCAAGUCGAACGGAGUGCUCAUGACGGAGGAUUCGUCCAACGGAUUGAGUUACUUAGUGGCGAACGGGUGAGUAACGCGUGAGGAACCUGCCUCAAAGAGGGGGACAACAGUUGGAAACGACUGCUAAUACCGCAUAAGCCCACAGCUCCGCAUGGAGCAGGGGGAAAAGGAGUGAUCCGCUUUGAGAUGGCCUCGCGUCCGAUUAGCUAGUUGGUGAGGUAACGGCCCACCAAGGCGACGAUCGGUAGCCGGACUGAGAGGUUGAUCGGCCACAUUGGGACUGAGACACGGCCCAG